AGUUCUGGGCUGUGGUGAGCUAUGCCAAUCAGGUGCCCUGUGUCGGCACUCACCUCCAAGUUUGGUAUCAAUAUGGCAACCUCCUGGGAGCAGGGGACCACCAGGUUGCCAAGGGAGAGGUGAACUGACCCAGGUCAGCAACAGAGCAGGUCAAAACUCCCGUGCUGAUCAGUAGUGUGAUCACACCUGUGAAUAGCCAUUGCACUCCAA
This 210-nucleotide small RNA is filed under the name Callithrix jacchus (white-tufted-ear marmoset). RNAcentral describes it as "Metazoan signal recognition particle RNA (ENSCJAG00000060880.2)". It matches the Rfam family "Metazoan signal recognition particle RNA", at positions 73 to 269 of the family's 299-position model. From Rfam's summary of the family: The signal recognition particle (SRP) is a universally conserved ribonucleoprotein. It is involved in the co-translational targeting of proteins to membranes. The record is from Rfam by way of RNAcentral. Lineage: Eukaryota; Metazoa; Chordata; Mammalia; Primates; Cebidae.